Gadus macrocephalus (Pacific cod) is the source of this 2221-nucleotide long non-coding RNA. RefSeq lists it as uncharacterized. Lineage: Eukaryota; Metazoa; Chordata; Actinopteri; Gadiformes; Gadidae. The transcript is spliced from 2 exons. The record is from RefSeq and is a predicted model, not a curated record.
GUGUGUCUGUAGAGGAAGACCUUCCGCCGGGGGAAUCUAACGCACAGCUCCAUGCUAGGUGGGCUGAUCAGAGUGUGUCUGUAGAGGACUGUAUGGUUUGGUAGGAAUGAAUUUGCUGAAUUGAUGCAGAUUUUAUACAUUAGUCCGGCGGUUUAUUAAAAACAGAAUCUGAAGGGUGAAUGUCUUUCAUCAGGUCACAAAAGGACAUGUACGCAAGGUCACACACACAUGGCACGAAGGUGUUUACGCACACGCUCACGUGCAUGUACACACACACAAAUAAAAAAGCGUCCAACACAGCAGUGAUUAGACACCAGAUCAGCUUACACCAUAUUUCAUCAUCACUGUAGAUGCUAUUGAUCUCUCCCUCUCCCUCUCUCCCUCUCCCUCACUAUCCCCUCCCCCUCCCUCCCCUUCCCUCUCUACCUCCCUCUCUAUCCCCCUCCUCUCCCGCUCCCCUUCACUCCCUCCCUCUCUCUCCCUACACCUGACUCCCUCCCCUCUCCACGUCCCCCCUCCCGCGUCCUGUCUCCGUUGAAGGGCACCCUUUAUCCUCUCUCGCUCCGUUCCCCAUAAAUCUUCAGACUUCCUCGAGGAACUGUUCUGAUCCACGCCCAGACAGAGGGCCGGUCCACAGGUCCACUGACGGCCUUCUGAUGCAGAGGGACACGCAACCUCGGUCCGCGUGCGGCCAUGUUGCCAUGGCUCCCUCUCAUCCGCUCUGAGGAGGAGAGGAGCACAACGUGCUGAAUCAGCAUCUCUGAGUCCAGCAGAAGCAGACGAUCCAACCUGAGCCAGACGCGUCGGACCCCAGGGCCCUGCUUCAUAGAAAGUAAAUAGAGACACGCUAAGCUCGCGUGUUAAUAAAGUUUACUUCACACCCUUCUGACGUGCAGCAGCCGACAGAGCGAUACGGUUCCACCCGACCUACCCGUCAUGAGACGGUCUGAUCCUGGAUCGGACGGCCAAACUGACCCAUGUGGACGUCAGUGUUUACAGCUAGCCUCUCGAAACUAUCAAACACUUUAGAGGCGAAAAAAACAGACUCUGAUCAUGUUUGGUGGAGCCGGCCGGCUGUCUUACCUCAACAAAAAUAAAACAGUCAACUGACAGCGGAGCUCCCAGCUGGAGGCUGGAGGCUCCCCGCCUCCCGGUGCUCCGUUCAGCGCCGUGAGGCGGCUUUAACGGGCUUCGGGUUCUUCCAGUGAAGUUGUGGUACUUUUUACUCACGUCCGCCGCCUCAACCGUCAGCUGUUCUUUAGAUGAUUGUCUUCAAUUGACCGUAACGUAGUAACCCCCUUAUAUCAAACGGCCAGUAACGCCACCGUAUUGAAAUCAUCACACAGGCUCUGCUCUCAUUCCGACACAUGGAUUUAAGCCCAGGCUAUCCCCCACGGCGCCCUUCUUUGUCUGACGCUCAGGCUUCGAGGCUGAAGGAGCACACCGGCUGACGAUUCAGCGGGAGGUGCGGGAGCCCUUUAAACGGGGCGUCGCGCGGUUCCUGGUCCGACUCCCCGGUCUGGGGUCGGCGUGCAGCAGUGCAUCACGCGCGACCGAUCGGGCGGCGCGACCGACCAGCGGCGCGCUCACUCGGUGCGAUAGCGGCGUAGCGGCAUAGCGUGCAUACUCAGCAGAAACAAUAUCUCGAUACUCAGCACUUGUCGAACAAUGAUUUCCUUUUUGUUUGUUUUCUAAAUAGACAAAACGACUUACCCAGAAUCAAAGUGUCCCUGACCUCAGGACGGAUUCGUGGACGCGCGGUGGCCAACUUGGUGAUGAGGAGGAGCAGGUUUUACGCGCGGACCCCAGAUCGGUCCUCCACGCUCUCCUCGACGGUCCUCUGGUCGGAGGAGACGUCAGAUGAUGUUUGGAUCACAUGGUUUCAUUCAUGAACGAUACACGGGACUGCCACUUAAAGAGACACGCUACAGCGUGAUGUCUGUUAUUGUUGUAGUAAGGGGAAGGGGAAGGGGAAGGCUGAGAGCAGACGACCCUCAGUACAUUCUACUGGAACCUGUAGUUAGUCUGAUAAAAUAGUCCUUAUAAUAAUAACUGACAAAUGAACCGAUACCAAUAACAUUAACAAUCUUAAAAUAACUGGACUUUUUUUUCUAAAAAGAAAAUACCUACAUUAAAUGUAGGCUGUCAUUUUAAGAUGGUUGUAAAUUAUUUAGCAUAAUUGUGCUAAGCUAAUUGUGGGUAAUAAAGUUAAUUCAAGAGA